Molecule: ribosomal RNA, 433 nt
Filed under: uncultured bacterium
Lineage: Bacteria
Description: partial 16S ribosomal RNA
Rfam family: Bacterial small subunit ribosomal RNA
Source: RNAcentral
AACGAACGCUGGCGGCAUGCCUAACACAUGCAAGUCGAACGGGACCUUCUGGUCUAGUUGCGCACCGGUGCGUAACGCGUGGGAACCUUCCCUUAGGUUCGGAAUCACUCCCCGAAAGGGGUUCUAAUACCGCAUAAUGUUGUCGGACCAAAGAUUUAUCGCCCUUGGAGGGGCCCGCGUUGGAUUUGCUCGUGGGUGUGGUAAAAGCCCACCACGGCGACGAUCCAUAGCUGGUCUGAGAGGGUGUGCAGACACACUGGGACUGAGACACGGCCCAGACUCACACGGGAGGGAGCAGGGGGGAAUAUUGGAAAAUGGGAGAGAGCGUGAGACAGAAACGCCGGGGGGGUGAUGAAGGCAUUAGGGUUGUAAAGCUCUUUUACCAGGGAUGAUAAUGACAGUACCGGGAGAAUAAGCGCCGGCUAACUCCGUG